RNAcentral lists this ribosomal RNA (508 nucleotides) under uncultured bacterium. Its description in RNAcentral is "partial 16S ribosomal RNA". It matches the Rfam family "Bacterial small subunit ribosomal RNA", at positions 28 to 507 of the family's 1533-position model. The record is from RNAcentral.
GACGAACGCUGGCGGCGUGCCUAAUACAUGCGAGUCGAACGCUUCUUUCCUCCCGAGUGCUUGCUCUCAAUUGGAAAGAGGAGUGGCGGACGGGUGAGUAACACGUGGGUAACCUACCCAUCAGAGGGGGAGAACACUUGGAAACAGGUGCUAAUACCGCAUAACAGUUUAUGCCGCAUGGCAUAAGAGUGAAAGGCGCUUUCGGGUGUCGCUGAUGGAUGGACCCGCGGUGCAUUAGCUAGUUGGUGGGGUAACGGCUCACCAAGGCCACGAUGCAUAGCCGACCUGAGAGGGUGAUCGGCCACACUGGAACUGAGACACGGCCCAGACUCCUACGGGAGGCAGCAGUAGGGAAUAUUCGGCAAUGGACGAAAGCCUGACCGAGCAACGCCGCGUGAGUGAAGAAGGUUUUCGGAUCGUAAAGCUCUGUUGUUGAGGAAGAACAAGGGCGUUAUUAACUCACCGUCUUCUGACGGUACCUAACCAGAAAGCCACGGCUAACUUCGUG